GGACCUAUAGCUCAGUUGGUAGAGCCACCGGCUCAUAACCGGUCCGUCCUAGGUUCAAGUCCUAGUGGGUCCA
Molecule: transfer RNA, 73 nt
Filed under: Bilophila wadsworthia 3_1_6
Lineage: Bacteria; Pseudomonadati; Thermodesulfobacteriota; Desulfovibrionia; Desulfovibrionales; Desulfovibrionaceae
Rfam family: tRNA
About the family: Transfer RNA (tRNA) molecules are approximately 80 nucleotides in length.
Source: Rfam by way of RNAcentral